GUAGGUGGCAAGCGUUGUCCGGAAUUAUUGGGCGUAAAGCGCGCGCAGGCGGUUCUUUAAGUCUGAUGUGAAAGCCCACGGCUCAACCGUGGAGGGUCAUUGGAAACUGGAGAACUUGAGUACAGAAGAGGAAAGCGGAAUUCCACGUGUAGCGGUGAAAUGCGUAGAGAUGUGGAGGAACACCAGUGGCGAAGGCGGCUUUCUGGUCUGUAACUGACGCUGAGGCGCGAAAGCGUGGGGAGCAAACAGGAUUAGAUACCCUGGUAGUCCACGCCGUAAACGAUGAGUGCUAAGUGUUAGGGGGGUUUCCGCCCCCCUUAGUGCUGCAGCUAACGCAUUGAGCACUCCGCCUGGGAGUACGGCCGCAAGGCUG
RNAcentral lists this ribosomal RNA (373 nucleotides) under uncultured organism. RNAcentral's name for it is "partial 16S ribosomal RNA". It matches the Rfam family "Bacterial small subunit ribosomal RNA", at positions 527 to 896 of the family's 1533-position model. The record is from RNAcentral.